RNAcentral lists this ribosomal RNA (550 nucleotides) under Salmonella enterica. RNAcentral's name for it is "partial 23S ribosomal RNA". It matches the Rfam family "Bacterial large subunit ribosomal RNA", at positions 1 to 590 of the family's 2925-position model. RNAcentral also lists the same sequence under 1 other name. Lineage: Bacteria; Pseudomonadati; Pseudomonadota; Gammaproteobacteria; Enterobacterales; Enterobacteriaceae. The record is from RNAcentral.
GGUUAAGCGACUAAGCGUACACGGUGGAUGCCCUGGCAGUCAGAGGCGAUGAAGGGCGUGCUAAUCUGCGAUAAGCGCCGGUAAGGUGAUAUGAACCGUUAUAACCGGCGAUACCCGAAUGGGGAAACCCAGUGUGACUCGUCACACUAUCAUUAACUGAAUCCAUAGGUUAAUGAGGCGAACCGGGGGAACUGAAACAUCUAAGUACCCCGAGGAAAAGAAAUCAACCGAGAUUCCCCCAGUAGCGGCGAGCGAACGGGGAGGAGCCCAGAGCCUGAAUCAGCAUGUGUGUUAGUGGAAGCGUCUGGAAAGGCGCGCGAUACAGGGUGACAGCCCCGUACACAAAAGCGCAUGUGCUGUGAGCUCGAUGAGUAGGGCGGGACACGUGGUAUCCUGUCUGAAUAUGGGGGGACCAUCCUCCAAGGCUAAAUACUCCUGACUGACCGAUAGUGAACCAGUACCGUGAGGGAAAGGCGAAAAGAACCCCGGCGAGGGGAGUGAAAAAGAACCUGAAACCGUGUACGUACAAGCAGUGGGAGCACCCUUUGGG